CCUACGGGAGGCAGCAGUGAGGAAUAUUGGUCAAUGGGCGCGAGCCUGAACCAGCCAAGUAGCGUGAGGGAAGACGGUCCUAUGGAUUGUAAACCUCUUUUAUCGGGGAGCAAAAGACGCCACGCGUGGCGUUCCGCGAGUACCCUACGAAAAAGCAUCGGCUAACUCCGUGCCAGCAGCCGCGGUAAUACGGAGGAUGCGAGCGUUAUCCGGAUUUAUUGGGUUUAAAGGGUGCGCAGGCGGAAGAUCAAGUCAGCGGGAAAAUUGAGAGGCUCAACCUCUACGAGCCGUUGAAACUGGGUGUCUUGAGUGAGUGAGAAGUAGGCGGAAUGCGUGGUGUAGCGGUGAAAUGCAUAGAUAUCACGCAGAACUCCGAUUGCGAAGGCAGCAUACCGGAGCGCAACUGACGCUCAUGCACGAAAGUGUGGGUAUCGAACAGGAUUAGAUACCCCAGUAGUC
RNAcentral lists this ribosomal RNA (459 nucleotides) under uncultured bacterium. RNAcentral describes it as "partial 16S ribosomal RNA". It matches the Rfam family "Bacterial small subunit ribosomal RNA", at positions 338 to 795 of the family's 1533-position model. The record is from RNAcentral.